CCUGGUUGAUUCUGCCAGUAGUCAUAUGCUUGUCUCAAAGAUUAAGCCAUGCAUGUCUAAGUAUAAGCAAUUAUACAGCGAAACUGCGAAUGGCUCAUUAUAUAAGUUAUCGUUUAUUUGAUAGUGCCUUACUACUUGGAUAACCGUGGUAAUUCUAGAGCUAAUACAUGCUAAAAACCCCGACUUCGGAAGGGGUGUAUUUAUUAGAUACAAAACCAAUGCCCUUCGGGGCUCUUUGGUGAUUCAUGAUAACUAUACGAAUCGCACGGCCUUGCGCCGGCGAUGGUUCAUUCAAAUUUCUUCCCUAUCAACUUUCGAUGUUUGGGUAUUGGCCAAACAUGGUUGCAACGGGUAACGGAGGGUUAGGGCUCGACCCCGGAGAGGGAGCCUUAGAAACGGCUACCACAUCCAAGGAAGGCAGCAGGCGCGUAAAUUACCCAAUCCCGACUCGGGGAGGUAGUGACAAUAAAUACUGAUACAGGGUCCUUUCGGGCCUUGUAAUUGGAAUGAGAACAAUUUAAAUCCCUUAACGAGGAUCAAUUGGAGGGCAAGUCUGGUGCCAGCAGCCGCGGUAAUUCCAGCUCCAAUAGCGUAUAUUAAAGUUGUUGCAGUUAAAAAGCUCGUAGUUGAACCUUGGGCCUGGCUGGCCGGUCCGCCUCACCGCGUGCACUGGUCCGGCCGGGCCUUUCCCUCUGUGGAACCCCAUACCCUUCACUGGGCGUGGCGGGGAAACAGGACAUUUACUUUGAAAAAAUUAGAGUGCUCCAGGCAGGCCUAUGCUCGAAUACAUUAGCAUGGAAUAAUAAAAUAGGACGCGCGGUUCUAUUUUGUUGGUUUAUAGGACCGCCGUAAUGAUUAAUAGGGACAGUCGGGGGCAUCAGUAUUCAAAUGUCAGAGGUGAAAUUCUUGGAUCAUUUGAAGACUAACUACUGCGAAAGCAUUUGCCAAGGAUGUUUUCAUUAAUCAGGAACGAAAGUUAGGGGAUCGAAGACGAUCAGAUACCGUCGUAGUCUUAACCAUAAACUAUGCCGACUAGGGAUCGGACGGUGUUAUUCAUGACCCGUUCGGCACCUUACGAGAAAUCAAAGUGCUUGGGCUCCAGGGGGAGUAUGGUCGCAAGGCUGAAACUUAAAGAAAUUGACGGAAGGGCACCACCAGGGGUGGAGCCUGCGGCUUAAUUUGACUCAACACGGG
This 1194-nucleotide ribosomal RNA is filed under the name Phytophthora ramorum (sudden oak death agent). RNAcentral describes it as "SSU rRNA". It matches the Rfam family "Eukaryotic small subunit ribosomal RNA", at positions 3 to 1209 of the family's 1831-position model. The record is from RNAcentral. Lineage: Eukaryota; Oomycota; Peronosporomycetes; Peronosporales; Peronosporaceae.